UAUCUUCGUAUGCAAGGGAGAAAAGCCA
Molecule: small RNA, 28 nt
Filed under: Bombyx mori (domestic silkworm)
Lineage: Eukaryota; Metazoa; Arthropoda; Insecta; Lepidoptera; Bombycidae
Description: ovarian small RNA-23815
Source: RNAcentral